GAUUCCCCUAGUAACUGCGAGUGAAGAGGGAAAAGCUCAAAUUUAAAAUCUGGCAGCUUCGCUGUCCGAGUUGUAAUUUAGAGAAGUGUUACCCGUGCUGGACCGUGUACAAGUCUCCUGGAACGGAACGUCAUAGAGGGUGAGAAUCCCGUCUUUGACACGGACUCCCAGUAUGUUGUGGUACGCUCUCGAAGAGUCGUGUUGUUUGGGAAUGCAGCACUAAAUGGGUGGUAAAUUCCAUCUAAAGCUAAAUAUUGGCGAGAGACCGAUAGCAAACAAGUACCGUGAGGGAAAGAUGAAAAGAACUUUGGAAAGAGAGUUAAACAGUACGUGAAAUUGUUGAAAGGGAAACGCUUGAAGUCUAGUCGCGUCGGUUGGAAAUCAGUCUUGCUUCUGCUUGAUGUACUUUCUAAUCGAUGGGUCAGCAUCAGUUUUGACCGUUGGAUAAAGGUUGGGGGAAUGUGGCAUCCUCGGAUGUGUUAUAGCCUCUGAUUGCAUACAACGGUUGGGACUGAGGAACUCAGCACGCCGCAAGGCCGGGUACUUGUACCACGUUCGUGCUUAGGAUGCUGGCAUAAUAGCUUUAAUCG
RNAcentral lists this ribosomal RNA (590 nucleotides) under Oudemansiella turbinispora. RNAcentral's name for it is "eukaryotic LSU rRNA". It matches the Rfam family "Eukaryotic large subunit ribosomal RNA", at positions 73 to 646 of the family's 3401-position model. The record is from RNAcentral. Lineage: Eukaryota; Fungi; Basidiomycota; Agaricomycetes; Agaricales; Physalacriaceae.